This 1773-nucleotide long non-coding RNA is filed under the name Equus caballus (horse). Its description in RNAcentral is "lncRNA (ENSECAG00000056831.1)". Lineage: Eukaryota; Metazoa; Chordata; Mammalia; Perissodactyla; Equidae. The record is from RNAcentral.
UCAAGGAAUGACAAUUGAAACGAUCAAUGGAAUGAUCAACACAAAUGGAAAAUAUUACUGUUAUUGUAAUAUUAUAUAAUAUUAUAUAUAUGAUAUAUAUUAUCUAUAUAAUAUAAUAUAAGUUAUAUAUUAAAUGAUGAGGAUUUCAGGCUGGUUAAUUUUAACACUGCAGAUGAGUAGCAGGCUCCAAGGAGCGGAGUUUGCUCGCCCUUUGUUGGGAGGCAUUAACAUUUGUAGGGGAAACCUCCAUCUGUGGGGUUGCCUCCCUCUCUGUGCCAGGAAGAAGGGAGAUGACCUUGUCGCUGGAAGCUCUUCAUCAUGCCAAAGACAAGAAUUUAAGGGCGUGAGUGUUUUUAAAAAACAAAAAAAAAGGCUUGAUUCCAAAGAGAUGGUGUCUCUCUGCUUUUCCUCCCGCUCCGUCUUCUCAGCUAACACUCCAGUGUUCCCAGAACGCUCCAUCUUGGCGUCUUUCUGCAGUUGGCACUCUGGACUGCUAUGGUGCAGACAUUCGUCGAUGUUCCAGGUUGUCUUGAAAGAAUGGAUUACAAUACGACAUCUGCCUAGGUCUCUCGAUCCAGUUUCCUGCCUUGUUCCAGUGUUCCGUGUCCUCACUGAUUUCUCGGCCUGCUUCACCGAAGAGUUACUGAGACUUCGGCUCUAAUCUCCCAGCAAACGGGUGAAUUCCAAGUGGCGUUUUCAAGAGAUGUGUCAACCUAGUCCACGUUUGCCCGGAACGCCUGCCCACUUUCUGGGAUCACAUGAAGCCAUCCGGGGUCGUGUAGUGACUGUUCCUACAGCAACAUGUUGUCGUGGGCAUCCAUUCCCCCAGGGCCAAUUCGAGGAACUCCAGGGUUUCCUUUGGGUAUUCUGGGAGCUGUGACACUCGGGGGCCUUCCAGCCCCUGGGAGAGACUGCCCCUGCCGGGACUGGCCAGUUCCUAAAGACGGUGAACGGCUGUCUUGGGGGCUGGCCUUUCUGGUGCUAGACAACUUCUUCUUUCUCGUUUUCAAAUGUUUGGGAGCCUUUGUGGCCUCCGUGGCUUCAAAUGAACAUUUCCUAGCAGGCAAAUCCAAGGGGAUUGGGGCGGCUUUCUUGAGACACUACUAGCUCCUUUUCCAAGGCUCCUAAGCCAAGCCAGUCUUUUCCCUGCCCUGAAUUGUCCCAGGGCCAGAUCCCAGGCCACCAGACACCGCCCCUCUCGCUCCCCCCUCCAGGACGAUUCCGAUUGGACGACUUUCAACUGUUUGCUCCGCCCCACCACGGAGCCCUUCCUGGAAACCCCAAUAAAGGCUCUGUCUCAGGCCCUCCCCUCUCACUCUUCUCCGCCAACCCUCCCCAGGCCUGCGGCUUCUCCUGGGUCCCUGCCUGCUGCGUGGCGCCUCUCCCGACCGAAGGAGCGGGCGUGAGUGUUUUUAAAAAACAAAAAAAAAGGCUUGAUUCCAAAGAGAUGGUGUCUCUCUGCUUUUCCUCCCGCUCCGUCUUCUCAGCUAACACUCCAGUGUUCCCAGAACGCUCCAUCUUGGCGUCUUUCUGCAGUUGGCACUCUGGACUGCUAUGGUGCAAACAUUCGUCGAUGUUCCAGGUUGUCUUGAAAGAAUGGAUUACAAUACGACAUCUGCCUAGGUCUCUCGAUCCAGUUUCCUGCCUUGUUCCAGUGUUCCGUGUCCUCACUGAUUUCUCGGCCUGCUUCACCGAAGAGUUACUGAGACUUCGGCUCUAAUCUCCCAGCAAACGGGUGAAUUCCAAGUGGCGUUUUCAAGAGAUGUGUCAACC